GUCGGAGUGGCUGAGAGGUCUAAAGAGCCAGACUUUACAAUGUGAGAAUGAGUUUGAAUCCCAUUUCCGACA
Non-coding RNA from Schistosoma mansoni, 72 nucleotides. Lineage: Eukaryota; Metazoa; Platyhelminthes; Trematoda; Strigeidida; Schistosomatidae. The record is from Rfam.